AUUGAACGAUGGCGGCAGGCCUAACACAUGCAAGUCGAACGAGUGGCGGACGGGUGAGUAAUGUCUGGGAAACUGCCUGACGGAGGGGGAUAACUACUGGAAACGGUAGCUAAUACCGCAUACCAUCGGAUGUGCCCAGAUGGGAUUAGCUAGUGGGUGGGGUAAAGGCUCACCUAGGCGACGAUCCCUAGCUGGUCUGAGAGGAUGGCCAGCAACGCUGGAACUGAGCCACGGGCCAGACGCCUACGGAAGGCAGCAGUGGGGAAUAUUGGACAAUGGGCGCAAGCCUGGUGCAGCCAUGCCGCGUGUAUGAAGAAUGCUGUCGGGUUGUAAAGUACUUUCAGCGGGGAGGCGUUACCCGCAUAAGAAGCACCGGCUAACUCCGUGCCAGCAGCCGCGGUAAUAC
RNAcentral lists this ribosomal RNA (406 nucleotides) under uncultured bacterium. RNAcentral describes it as "partial 16S ribosomal RNA". It matches the Rfam family "Bacterial small subunit ribosomal RNA", at positions 30 to 526 of the family's 1533-position model. The record is from RNAcentral.